CCUUCGAAGAGUCGAGUUGUUUGGGAAUGCAGCUCUAAGUGGGUGGUAAAUUCCAUCUAAAGCUAAAUAUUGGCGAGAGACCGAUAGCGAACAAGUACAGUGAUGGAAAGAUGAAAAGAACUUUGAAAAGAGAGUGAAAAAGUACGUGAAAUUGUUGAAAGGGAAGGGCAUUUGAUCAGACAUGGUGUUUUGUGCCCUCUGCUCCUUGUGGGUAGGGGAAUCUCGCAUUUCACUGGGCCAGCAUCAGUUUUGGUGGCAGGAUAAAUCCAUAGGAAUGUAGCUUGCCUCGGUAAGUAUUAUAGCCUGUGGGAAUACUGCCAGCUGGGACUGAGGACUGCGACGUAAGUCAAGGAUGCUGGCAUAAUGGUUAUAUGCCGCCCGUCUUGAAACACGGACCAAGGAGUCUAACGUCUAUGCGAGUGUUUGGGUGUAAAACCCAUACGCGUAAUGAAAGUGAACGUAGGUUGGGGCCUCGCAAGAGGUGCACAAUCGACCGAUCCUGAUGUCUUCGGAUGGAUUUGAGUAAGAGCAUAGCUGUU
Molecule: non-coding RNA, 539 nt
Filed under: Aspergillus carbonarius ITEM 5010
Lineage: Eukaryota; Fungi; Ascomycota; Eurotiomycetes; Eurotiales; Aspergillaceae
Description: Eukaryotic large subunit ribosomal RNA
Rfam family: Eukaryotic large subunit ribosomal RNA
Source: Rfam by way of RNAcentral